RNAcentral lists this ribosomal RNA (406 nucleotides) under uncultured bacterium. RNAcentral's name for it is "partial 16S ribosomal RNA". It matches the Rfam family "Bacterial small subunit ribosomal RNA", at positions 29 to 526 of the family's 1533-position model. The record is from RNAcentral.
AUUGAACGCUGGCGGCAGGCCUAACACAUGCAAGUCGAACGAGGGGCGGACGGGUGAGUAAUGUCUGCGACACUGCCCGAUGGAGGGGGAUAACUUCGGGAAACGGUAGCUAAUCCCGCAUACCCACGGAUGCGCCCAUGGGGGAUUAGCUAGUAGGUGGGGUAACGGCUCACCGAGGCGACGACCCCUAGCUGGUCUGAGAGGAUGACCAGCCACACUGGAACUGAGACACGGUCCAUACUCCUACGGUAGGCAGCAGUGGGGAAGAUGGCACAAUGGGCGCAAGCCUGAUGCAGCCAUGCCGCGUGUAUGAAGAAGGCCUUCGGGUUGUAAAGCACUUUCAGCGGGGAGGCGUUACUCGCAGAAGAAGCACCGGCUAACUCCGUGCCAGCAGCCGCGGUAAUAC